ACAGACACAUGUAACCUUGAAGGGACUAUUUGCACAUUCCUAUAUGCAGGGAUCAGUGUAUGGUUCUCGGUCGGCAGUGACAACAGUGACAACAUGUAACAUUGAAGGGACUAUUUGCACAUUCCUAUAUGAAGGGAUCAGUGUAUGGUUCUCGGUCGGCAGUGACAACAGUGGAGUCGAUAGCUUAGGUUAUAUACCAUAUAAGUUUUUACCAUACAGGUAGAUAUUUUCAAGUGCCAGGCGAGCAUAUACUGAAAGUAGUUGUGGUGUUGGUGCCAUGGAGUUCCUAGACUAACCCUAGCUAGGCUAAGGGUAUUUGUAAACAUGGUGGACCCAUCACCUACCUGCCACUGAUGACAGGUAGAUGUCUCACUAACGACAGGAUAGAAAGCAUGCCGUUACACUGAGAGGGUCUGUUUGAAAAUACUGAUGCACCUAACUACAUACCAUCGUCAGAGCUUUAAGUAUGAUGCACUUUUGGUUAUACAGUCACAAUCUUGCCUGUAUCAAGUUGAUAUGAUGGGUAAGCAUGUUUUUAUUACUAUGAUGGAACAUUUUUUCUCUCUUUAAAUACACGUUAAAUAUACAACUCUGCAUUUCAAUGUAAUAUUCCAUCACAGUGCAUUAAAGGUACACUAUACUAUAUGGUCUGGUGCUCAUAUCAAAUCAAGGUCUAGACCUUGUAUUAAAGGAAACUAUCAAGCGAUAUCUGAAGGCAUGCAGAUCUAAAGUAACAUGUGACAGAUUUAUCCAGGAUUCCAGACUAAUAGCCCUUGGCAAUUUUGAGGGAAAAAUUGUUACUUUGCUCAAAUUGGUCACUGAAAUGCAAGUCAAUUCUGCAAAGCCUUAUCAACAGUUAUUACUAUACAACAUGAACUGGGAAAUAUUUAGUUGGGAAUUUGUAUUUACAUUUACUGCAGACUUUAAUUAUCAACCUCUGAGCAGGUCUAGAUAAAUCCCUAUGUGACCUCACUAUGUCACAACAAAAUUCCCUUAUUGCACACCGUGUCCUCCUGUAGAGCAUCAUUGUACAAUUAUACAAGUCUCACAAAACAAACCAAUUAGUCAGCUAUCUGUCAUGGUUCAUCUUUGAGACCAUAUGUUUCCUUUUCUUGUGUAACAAAUUUGCAGGAGGGAUACACCACAAUGACUGUUUCAUGUCGUAUCUUGCACAAGCACAGUUUUUUUUAUUAUUCUGUGCCCAUAUCAGAUAUAAGAUAAUUUCAUCACGCUCAUACACAAUCACAUGAUUGCGGAAGAGUCUGUGCAUGAUCACAUGAACACCUCUACUGUCCAUCAUAGACCAAUUAGGUCACACUAUAAAAAAUUGAAGCUAUGGAUUAUUGUCAAUACAUCAGGGGAAAUGAAAAACUAGAUCAUUAUGAAAAAAAUACAUAAAUAUUUUAUGCUUAUGCGGCAAAUAUAAUCAUUUGACAUUUUUUUUAAGUAAUUGAUUGUAAGCAGAUCAGAUAACAAGUACCAGAUGACACGGAAGUAGAGAUGAUUAUCUGCCCUCUUCAUGCUCCUCCUGACUAUCCAACUGCUGUGCAUCCCGACCACGUGAAAGGAGGAAGUAGUUCUGUGUGCAUCCACCCCCAGACUAGCGGCAGUCAUGCAGUCUUGUCAAUGGCAGUUUUAUAAUUUAUGUCCACAAUGCUGUUUGUGAAUACUGUCCAUAAGUCAUAUAUUUUUUAACUGUUUUUCCUUCUAUGGCGAUGUUCUCCCUUGUUUAUAUGUUUUCACAUCAUGUGACAAGAGUCAGCCCUAAUUCAUUUGUAAAUUUAAUUGUCAAAAGAAAUAAAUGCUGCUCAUUUUACAAAUUAUGCCUAUUUCAACCAACCUUGUUCAUGGUGUUGUUUCAACCUUUUUCAAAAUGAUUGUUUUUUUAAUACAAAAUCAUGUUUAUGUUUAAACGAAUACACAUGCAAUAUACCUCUUAAGUUUGAGGUCUAACCCAUUCAUCAUA
Haliotis rufescens (red abalone) is the source of this 1966-nucleotide long non-coding RNA. RefSeq lists it as uncharacterized. The record is from RefSeq and is a predicted model, not a curated record. NCBI's taxonomy places the organism in Eukaryota, Metazoa, Mollusca, Gastropoda, Lepetellida, Haliotidae. The transcript is spliced from 3 exons.